GGCGGACGGGUGAGUAAUGCAUAGGAAUCUGCCCGAUAGUGGGGGAUAACCUGGGGAAACCCAGGCUAAUACCGCAUACGUCCUACGGGAGAAAGGGGGCUUCGGCUCCCGCUAUUGGAUGAGCCUAUGUCGGAUUAGCUAGUUGGUGAGGUAACGGCUCACCAAGGCCACGAUCCGUAGCUGGUCUGAGAGGAUGAUCAGCCACAUCGGGACUGAGACACGGCCCGAACUCCUACGGGAGGCAGCAGUGGGGAAUAUUGGACAAUGGGGGCAACCCUGAUCCAGCCAUGCCGCGUGUGUGAAGAAGGCCCUCGGGUUGUAAAGCACUUUCAGCGAGGAAGAACGCCUAGCGGUUAAUACCCGCUAGGAAAGACAUCACUCGCAGAAGAAGCACCGGCUAACUCCGUGCCAGCAGCCGCGGUAAUACGGAGGGUGCAAGCGUUAAUCGGAAUUACUGGGCGUAAAGCGCGCGUAGGUGGCUUGAUAAGCCGGUUGUGAAAGCCCCGGGCUCAACCUGGGAACGGCAUCCGGAACUGUCAAGCUAGAGUGCAGGAGAGGAAGGUAGAAUUCCCGGUGUAGCGGUGAAAUGCGUAGAGAUCGGGAGGAAUACCAGUGGCGAAGGCGGCCUUCUGGACUGACACUGACACUGAGGUGCGAAAGCGUGGGUAGCAAACAGGAUUAGAUACCCUGGUAGUCCACG
This 700-nucleotide ribosomal RNA is filed under the name uncultured Halomonas sp. RNAcentral describes it as "bacterial SSU rRNA". It matches the Rfam family "Bacterial small subunit ribosomal RNA", at positions 97 to 799 of the family's 1533-position model. The record is from RNAcentral. Lineage: Bacteria; Pseudomonadati; Pseudomonadota; Gammaproteobacteria; Oceanospirillales; Halomonadaceae.